GGAGAGGUGCCAGAGCGGCCGAACGGGCCGGUCUCGAAAACCGGUAGGGGCGCAAGCCCCUCGGGGGUUCGAAUCCCCCCCUCUCCGCCA
Molecule: transfer RNA, 90 nt
Filed under: Planctomycetota bacterium
Lineage: Bacteria; Pseudomonadati; Planctomycetota
Description: Planctomycetes bacterium (groundwater metagenome) tRNA-Ser
Rfam family: tRNA
About the family: Transfer RNA (tRNA) molecules are approximately 80 nucleotides in length. Their secondary structure includes four short double-helical elements and three loops (D, anti-codon, and T loops).
Source: RNAcentral